Molecule: long non-coding RNA, 2337 nt
Filed under: Equus asinus (donkey)
Lineage: Eukaryota; Metazoa; Chordata; Mammalia; Perissodactyla; Equidae
Description: lncRNA (ENSEASG00005036042.1)
Source: RNAcentral
UGUGUAUUCUGCCUUGCCAUUUUUUGUUGGAAGGUAGACAUAAUGUCCUGGGUAAAAGGAACUGUGAUAAAUAGGCCUUUAGUAAUAUGGUGGUGAGAUGCAGGGGAAGGGGAAGUGUUCUAUAGUCCUGUGAUGAGGCUUCAGUCUUGUGGUGAGCCUGUGUCCCUAGACUGUGAACUUCACCAGUGAUUUGCUAUACCCUAUCCCCCCACCUUAGGUAGGAUAGGAUGGCUAGAGGGAGCUAGAGUUGGGUAUUUCCCUUUUCCCAAGUCAGUUGGGCUCUGAUAAAACUCCAGCAGGUCAGGCUCUGAUAGAAUAGUUUCACCUGAGGGCAAGCCUUGUUAAGAAGAACAGAAUGCUCUGGCAUAUUUCAAAAUGGUUCCUUUCAUCUUGCACCUGCUGGAAGCAUGAGGAGAUUUUUCUCUGAUAUAUACUGUGAGGACCCGGUCAAGCUCCUGAAGGUAAAACUCACAAAAGCAUGGAGUCCCUCUCUAUGACUAGAGUUUUUGACUCUCAGACUUGUCCAUACUGAGCCUCCAGCAAUUCAUCCGUUGCAGUUCAGGUUUUCCUACCUUGGCACUGGUUCUGGUGGAGGUUUCUGCUCCAGUAAGUUGUAAUUCUCUGUAUCCACUUGUCUCUCCAUGUUUUGCGGCAGUGGUUUACCUGGUGAACCCACUUGUCUGACGAAACUAAGAAGAGGUGUUGAUUUUUCAGUUUAUUUAGCUUUUCACUUAUUUUUAAGACGGAGUGGUGACUUCUGAGCUCCUAACAUGCCAAAUGGGAAGCUGGAAGUCUAGAAGUCUCUUUUUCAAGGUGAAUCUGAUGAUUGGAUGGCUUUAGAGCUAAUUGGCUUUUAAACUUUAAAAAUGUAAUGCCAUCUUAUUUCAAAGAAAAUCUAUGAAUUUAUAAAAAAACAUAUAAAAUUGGUAAAAGUGGGGCUGUUCUGGUUGAAGUGUGUGUGUUGGUGAGGCAGGGAUCCAGAGCUUUAUCUUCUCAAACUCCCCUGGUGCAGCCCCAAACUGCCUCUGCAGAGUCCCUCAUUCGCUAAUCAUACUGCUCUCUCCAGCAUGGGCUGGCGCAUGUCUCCCUCGGACAAAGCCACUGGGAAGUGCAGGCACUCGGAUUGGUGAACCAGAACCGUUACCCUGAUUAGUCCUGAGCUAACAUCCACCACCAAUCCUCCCCUUUUUUGCUGAGGAAGAUUGGCCUUGAGCUAACAUCUGUGCCCAUCUUACUCUGUUUAUGUGUGGGAUGCCUGCCAUAGCAUGGCUUGAUAAGCUGUGUGUAGGUCCAUGGCUGGGAUCUGAACUGACAAACUCCAGGAGGCUGAAGCAGAGCGUGUGAACCUAACCACUACACCACUGCACUGGCCCCUUAAGUGAUAAAUUUUGACUGUGAAGAGGAAAACAUGGAUUCAUUCAAACUCACCCCUCUCAUUUCUCUUAGUGCAGGGUGUUUGGGAUUCUGUGACCCUAAUUAUGUGAAUAUAUAUUAAAUGAGUACUGUUCACAAUUCUCUGCUUUGCUUUUGUUGAAACAGAAGCCAUAUUUUACCUUACACACUCUUGUUGGUACUGUGUCAUUGUAUUCUUUCUUUUUAGUUUCAUUGAAGGGCUACAAGGAAUAACUUGAAUAUACUGGAAUAAGAAUUGGAAAACUAUUCAUUAUCAAAAUUUGGGGACUUAAGCAUACAUUUGAAAAUUUAUAAUUACUUUCUUAUCUCUAAGUAGGUGAAAAACCAUGUAAUAAAGUAUUAGACAGUAAAUCUCAUUUGGAAUGAGGGAUUGUUGGAAACCACAGACUGUAGCGCAUCCAAUUCAACUUCCCCUUUCAUAACACUGAGCCCAGAGAGGGUAGUUGUCUUGUUCAGGGUCCUGCAGUUAGGUGGUGACAGAAAUGGUUUUUGUGAGUCCUAUUUGAGCACUCUUUUGGCCAGGCCACACCCUUUGCAGGGGUCAAGGAGUUCUUCACUACUUGGCUGUGGCUCCAUAAAUAUGGAUUCUGUGAUUUCUUUUCUCCUCCAAGUGCACAGACUCUUGCCCCCCAUUUCCCACAUUUGCAUCCCAAUGACAUAUUAGCUGAGUGACUUUGGGCUAGUUAACCAACCUCUCUCUGUGCUUCAGUUUUCACUUUUAUGAAAUGAGGAUAAUAAUAGUGCAUCUCUUAUAGAGUCUAUACCAGUGAUGUGCGUGGCACCGCGUAAGCACUUAAUAAACAUUGGCUAUUAUUUUUAUUAUUGUAAUUUUCUGCCACUCUUCCUCCAGUGUGUGCUGUGGUCUUCAUUUACUUUGUGGCAUAUAGUAAUCACAUCUAAAACAACUGAAGGUUGUAUCUGCAU